GGGUUGUGAGGUUAAGCGACUAAGCGUACACGGUGGAUGCCCUGGCAGUCAGAGGCGAUGAAGGACGUGCUAAUCUGCGAAAAGCGUCGGUAAGGUGAUAUGAACCGUUAUAACCGGCGAUGUCCGAAUGGGGAAACCCAGUGCAAUUCGUUGCACUAUCGUUAACUGAAUACAUAGGUUAACGAGGCGAACCGGGGGAACUGAAACAUCUAAGUACCCCGAGGAAAAGAAAUCAACCGAGAUUCCCCCAGUAGCGGCGAGCGAACGGGGAGCAGCCCAGAGUCUGAAUCAGCUUGUGUGUUAGUGGAACGGUCUGGAAAGUCCGACGGUACAGGGUGAUAGUCCCGUACACCAAAAUGCACAGGCUGUGAACUCGAAGAGUAGGGCGGGACACGUGGUAUCCUGUCUGAAUAUGGGGGGACCAUCCUCCAAGGCUAAAUACUCCUGACUGACCGAUAGUGAACCAGUACCGUGAGGGAAAGGCGAAAAGAACCCCGGCGAGGGGAGUGAAAAAGAACCUGAAACCGUGUACGUACAAGCAGUGGGAGCACCUUCGGGUGUGACUGCGUACCUUUUGUAUAAUGGGUCAGCGACUUAUAUUCUGUAGCAAGGUUAACCGUAUAGGGGAGCCGCAGGGAAACCGAGUCUUAACUGGGCGUUAAGUUGCAGGGUAUAGACCCGAAACCCGGUGAUCUAGCCAUGGGCAGGUUGAAGGUUGGGUAACACUAACUGGAGGACCGAACCGACUAAUGUUGAAAAAUUAGCGGAUGACUUGUGGCUGGGGGUGAAAGGCCAAUCAAACCGGGAGAUAGCUGGUUCUCCCCGAAAGCUAUUUAGGUAGCGCCUCGUGAACUCAUCUUCGGGGGUAGAGCACUGUUUCGGCUAGGGGGUCAUCCCGACUUACCAACCCGAUGCAAACUACGAAUACCGAAGAAUGUUAUCACGGGAGACACACGGCGGGUGCUAACGUCCGUCGUGAAGAGGGAAACAACCCAGACCGCCAGCUAAGGUCCCAAAGUCAUGGUUAAGUGGGAAACGAUGUGGGAAGGCACAGACAGCCAGGAUGUUGGCUUAGAAGCAGCCAUCAUUUAAAGAAAGCGUAAUAGCUCACUGGUCGAGUCGGCCUGCGCGGAAGAUGUAACGGGGCUAAACCAUGCACCGAAGCUGCGGCAGCGACACUAUGUGUUGUUGGGUAGGGGAGCGUUCUGUAAGCCUGCGAAGGUGGCCUGUGAGGGUUGCUGGAGGUAUCAGAAGUGCGAAUGCUGACAUAAGUAACGAUAAAGCGGGUGAAAAGCCCGCUCGCCGGAAGACCAAGGGUUCCUGUCCAACGUUAAUCGGGGCAGGGUGAGUCGACCCCUAAGGCGAGGCCGAAAGGCGUAGUCGAUGGGAAACAGGUUAAUAUUCCUGUACUUGGUGUUACUGCGAAGGGGGGACGGAGAAGGCUAUGUUAGCCGGGCGACGGUUGUCCCGGUUUAAGCAUGUAGGCUGGUUGUCCAGGCAAAUCCGGAUAAUCAAGGCUGAGGUGUGAUGACGAGGCACUACGGUGCUGAAGUAACAAAUGCCCUGCUUCCAGGAAAAGCCUCUAAGCAUCAGGUAACAUCAAAUCGUACCCCAAACCGACACAGGUGGUCAGGUAGAGAAUACCAAGGCGCUUGAGAGAACUCGGGUGAAGGAACUAGGCAAAAUGGUGCCGUAACUUCGGGAGAAGGCACGCUGGUGUGUAGGUGAAGCCCCUGCGGGUGGAGCUGAGACCAGUCGAAGAUACCAGCUGGCUGCAACUGUUUAUUAAAAACACAGCACUGUGCAAACACGAAAGUGGACGUAUACGGUGUGACGCCUGCCCGGUGCCGGAAGGUUAAUUGAUGGGGUUAUCCGUAAGGAGAAGCUCUUGAUCGAAGCCCCGGUAAACGGCGGCCGUAACUAUAACGGUCCUAAGGUAGCGAAAUUCCUUGUCGGGU
RNAcentral lists this ribosomal RNA (1958 nucleotides) under Klebsiella pneumoniae. RNAcentral describes it as "partial 23S ribosomal RNA". It matches the Rfam family "Bacterial large subunit ribosomal RNA", at positions 1 to 1977 of the family's 2925-position model. Lineage: Bacteria; Pseudomonadati; Pseudomonadota; Gammaproteobacteria; Enterobacterales; Enterobacteriaceae. The record is from RNAcentral.